RNAcentral lists this ribosomal RNA (497 nucleotides) under uncultured bacterium. Its description in RNAcentral is "bacterial SSU rRNA". It matches the Rfam family "Bacterial small subunit ribosomal RNA", at positions 29 to 516 of the family's 1533-position model. The record is from RNAcentral.
AGUGAACGCUGGCGGCAUGCCUAACACAUGCAAGUCGAACGGCAGCACAGCAGUAGCAAUACUGUGGGUGGCGAGUGGCGGACGGGUGAGGAACACAUCGGAAUUUGCCCAGUCGUGGGGGAUAACGUAGGGAAACUUACGCUAAUACCGCAUACGACCUUACGGUGAAAGCGGGGGAUCGCAAGACCUCGCGCGGAUGGAUGAGCCGAUGUCGGAUUAGCUAGUUGGUGGGGUAAAGGCCUACCAAGGCGACGAUCCGUAGCUGGUCUGAGAGGAUGAUCAGCCACACUGGGACUGAGACACGGCCCAGACUCCUACGGGAGGCAGCAGUGGGGAAUAUUGGACAAUGGGGGCAACCCUGAUCCAGCAAUGCCGCGUGUGUGAAGAAGGCCUUCGGGUUGUAAAGCACUUUAUCCGGAACGAACGUGCGGGGUGAAUAGCCUCGUAAACUGACGGUACCGGAGGAAUAAGCACCGGCUAACUUCGUGCCAGCAGCC